UACGGAGGGGGCGAGCGUUAUUCGGAAUUACUGGGCGUAAAGCGAUCGUAGGCUGAUGAGUCAGUCAGAUGUGAAAGCCCCGGGCUUAACCUGGGAACUGCAUUUGAAACUGCUUAUCUAGAAUCUCGGAGAGGGUAGUAGAAUUUCCAGUGUAGAGGUGAAAUUCGUAGAUAUCUGGAGGAACACCAAUGGCGAAGGCAGCUUACUGGACAAUAACUGACGCUGAGGCACGAAAGCGUGGGUAGCGAAAGGG
RNAcentral lists this ribosomal RNA (253 nucleotides) under uncultured bacterium. RNAcentral's name for it is "partial 16S ribosomal RNA". It matches the Rfam family "Bacterial small subunit ribosomal RNA", at positions 524 to 776 of the family's 1533-position model. The record is from RNAcentral.